This 460-nucleotide ribosomal RNA is filed under the name uncultured bacterium. RNAcentral's name for it is "partial 16S ribosomal RNA". It matches the Rfam family "Bacterial small subunit ribosomal RNA", at positions 338 to 795 of the family's 1533-position model. The record is from RNAcentral.
CCUACGGGUGGCUGCAGUGAGGAAUAUUGGUCAAUGGGCGCAAGCCUGAACCAGCCAAGUCGCGUGAGGGAUGAAGUUCCUAUGGAUUGUACACCUCUUUUGUCGGGGAGCAAAGCCCGCCACGUGUGGCGGGACGGAGAGUCAACGAAGAAAAAGCAUCGGCUAACUCCGUGCCAGCCGCCGCGGUAAUACGGAGGAUGCGAGCGUUAACCGGAUGUAUAGGGUUUAAAGGGUGCGUAGGCGGAAUGCCAAGUCAGCGGGAAACUCGCGGGGCUAAACCUCGAUCCGCUGUUGAAACUGGCGUUCUUGAGUGGGCGAGAAGUAUGCGGAAUGCGUGGGGUAGCGGUGAAAUGCAUAGAUAUCACGCAGAACUCCGAUUGCGAAGGCAGCAUACCGGCGCCCAACUGACGCUGAAGCACGAAAGCGUGGGUAUCGAACAGGAUUAGAUACCCUAGUAGUC